GACGAACGCUGGCGGCGUGCCUAAUACAUGCAAGUCGAACGCACAGUUUAUACCGUAGCUUGCUACACCAUAGACUGUGAGUUGCGAACGGGUGAGUAACGCGUAGGUAACCUGCCUGGUAGCGGGGGAUAACUAUUGGAAACGAUAGCUAAUACCGCAUAAUAUUGAUUAUUGCAUGAUAAUUGAUUGAAAGAUGCUAUUGCAUCACUACCAGAUGGACCUGCGUUGUAUUAGCUAGUAGGUGAGGUAACGGCUCACCUAGGCGACGAUACAUAGCCGACCUGAGAGGGGGAUCGGCCACACUGGGACUGAGUCACGGCCCAGACCCCUACGGGAGGCAGCAGUAGGGAAUCUUCGGCAAUGGACGAAAGUCUGACCGAGCAACGCCGCGGGAGGGAAGAAGGGUUUCGGAUCGUAAAGAUCUGUUGUAAGAGAAGAACGGGUGUGAGAGUGGAAAGUUCACACUGUGACGGUAGCUGACCAGAAAGGGACGGCUAACUACGUG
This 505-nucleotide ribosomal RNA is filed under the name uncultured bacterium. RNAcentral describes it as "partial 16S ribosomal RNA". It matches the Rfam family "Bacterial small subunit ribosomal RNA", at positions 28 to 507 of the family's 1533-position model. The record is from RNAcentral.